This 339-nucleotide unclassified non-coding RNA is filed under the name soil metagenome. RNAcentral's name for it is "partial contains 5.8S ribosomal RNA, internal transcribed spacer 2, and large subunit ribosomal RNA". The stretch from base 1 to 120 matches the Rfam family "5.8S ribosomal RNA", at positions 35 to 154 of the family's 154-position model. The record is from RNAcentral.
GAUGAAGAACGCAGCGAAAUGCGAUAAGUAGUGUGAAUUGCAGAAUUCAGUGAAUCAUCGAAUCUUUGAAUGCACAUUGCGCCCCUCGGUAUUCCGUGGGGCAUGCCUGUUCGAGCGUCAUUUAACCCCUCAAGCCUAGCUUGGUAUUGGGUGCUUGUCCCGCCUCUCGCGCGGCGACUCACCUCAAAGUCAUUGGCAGCCCGCAUCUCGCCGGCCGUGAGCGCAGCACAGACGCGCUCUUGGCAACGACGGAUCGGCUCUCCAAAAGCUUAUUUCAACCACUGACCUCGGAUCAGGUAGGGAUACCCGCUGAACUUAAGCAUAUCAAUAAGCGGAGGA